Molecule: ribosomal RNA, 652 nt
Filed under: uncultured bacterium
Lineage: Bacteria
Description: bacterial SSU rRNA
Rfam family: Bacterial small subunit ribosomal RNA
Source: RNAcentral
UGAGUAACGCGUGGGUAACCUGCCUUAUACAGGGGGAUAACAGUCAGAAAUGGCUGCUAAUACCGCAUAAGCGCACAGGGCCGCAUGGCCCGGUGUGAAAAACUGAGGUGGUAUAAGAUGGACCCGCGUUGGAUUAGCCAGUUGGCAGGGUAACGGCCUACCAUAGCGACGAUCCAUAGCCGGCCUGAGAGGGUGAACGGCCACAUUGGGACUGAGACACGGCCCAGACCCCUACGGGAGGCAGCAGUGGGGAAUAUUGCACAAUGGGGGAAACCCUGAUGCAGCGACGCCGCGUGAAGGAAGAAGUAUCUCGGUAUGUAAACUUCUAUCAGCAGGGAAGAAAAUGACGGUACCUGACUAAGAAGCCCCGGCUAACUACGUGCCAGCAGCCGCGGUAAUACGUAGGGGGCAAGCGUUAUCCGGAUUUACUGGGUGUAAAGGGAGCGUAGACGGCAUAACAAGUCUGAUGUGAAAGGCUGGGGCUUAACCCCGGGACUGCAUUGGAAACUGUUAAGCUUGAGUGCCGGAGGGGUAAGCGGAAUUCCUAGUGUAGCGGUGAAAUGCGUAGAUAUUAGGAGGAACACCAGUGGCGAAGGCGGCUUACUGGACGGUAACUGACGUUGAGGCUCGAAAGCGUGGGGAGCAAACAGGA